This 74-nucleotide transfer RNA is filed under the name Candidatus Eremiobacter antarcticus. Its description in RNAcentral is "tRNA-Arg". It matches the Rfam family "tRNA". From Rfam's summary of the family: Transfer RNA (tRNA) molecules are approximately 80 nucleotides in length. The record is from RNAcentral. RNAcentral also lists the same sequence under 2 other names. Lineage: Bacteria; Bacillati; Vulcanimicrobiota; Vulcanimicrobiia; Candidatus Eremiobacterales; Candidatus Eremiobacteraceae.
GCGCCUAUAGCUCAACUGGAUAGAGUGUCGGGCUUCGAACCCGAAGGUUGGGGGUUCGAGUCCCUCUAGGCGCG